AGAAUAUUAUUUAAAUUAUUUGGGAAGAAGAUUAUUAAUUAAAAUAAUUUUAGUGGAUUUGUUUUAGUAUAGUUUAUAGAAGAAAAUUGAAUGAGUAAUAGGGAAGUAGUACUGUGAAGGAAAUAUGAAAUAGGUGAAAUAGUAAUUAGGAUGAAAGAAGAAUAAAAUUUGUACCUUGGGUAUCAGGGUUUAUUAAAUAAUAGUAAGGAUUUAUAAUUCUCGAAUUGAAAAGAGUUAAAAUAGUAUAGUAGUUAAUGUAUUAUGAUUAUUAUAAAUUCUAUUUUAGGGAUGAAAUGUUAAGCGUUUUUUAAGUUAUCUGGUUUUUCAAGAAAUGAAUUUAAUUCAUGUUAUAGGAGUAAGUAUUUAAUUAAUAUUAAUAACUUAUUUUUGAUAACAAAUGUAUAAGGGGAUAAGCUUUUAUAUAGAAGUUAUAAGUUAUGAAUUUUUUUACAAGGAGUAGUAGGCUUUAAAUUAGCUAUCAAUGAGAUAAUGUUAUAAAUUGUUCUGUAAAUACAUAUUUUUUUAAUAGCUUUAGUUUGUGUAUUGAAAUAUUAUAUCAAAUAAAUUGAUAUAAGUGAUGAUGAUAAAAUGAGUAUAUAAAAAUUGUUUACUAUAAUAUUUUUUUUGAAUUUAUAAUAAGGAACUAGGCAAAUUAUUACUCGCCUGUUUAUCAAAAACAUCUCCUUUUGUAUUUAUUUAAGGUAGGGCCUGCCCACUGAAAUUUAUUUGAAGGGCCGCGGUAUUAUGACCGUGCAAAGGUAGCAUAAUCAUUAGUCUUUUAAUUGAAGGCUGGAAUGAAUGGUUUGACGAGGUGAUGACUGUCUCAUUAUAAUAUAUAUAGAAGUUAACUUUUAAGUUAAAAGGCUUAAAUUUUGAUGGAGGACGAGAAGACCCUAUAGAGCUUUAUACAUAGAUUUAGAUUUGUAUUUAGUGGUUUAUAAAAUUUUAGGUUUAUUGUAUUGUGUUGGGGUGACAUAAAGAUAAAAUUAACUCUUUAUUUUAAAGACAUUAAUGUGUGGAUUAUUGAUCCAUUUUUAGUGAUCAUAAGAUUAAGUUACCUUAGGGAUAACAGCGUAAUUUUUCUUGAGAGUUCAUAUCAACAGAGAAGAUUGCGACCUCGAUGUUGGAUUAAGGAAUAUAAUUAGAUGCAGCAGUUUAGUUAAUAGGUCUGUUCGACCUUUAAAUCCUUACAUGAUCUGAGUUCAGACCGGUGUGAGCCAGGUCGGUUUCUAUCCUCAUUGUUUUUUUAUAUUUUAGUACGAAAGGACCAAGUAUUUUAAAUAUUUUAUUAUAUUUGAUUAAUAUUA
RNAcentral lists this ribosomal RNA (1307 nucleotides) under Poecilimon richteri. RNAcentral's name for it is "16S ribosomal RNA". The stretch from base 875 to 1240 matches the Rfam family "Bacterial large subunit ribosomal RNA", at positions 2072 to 2648 of the family's 2925-position model. The record is from RNAcentral. Lineage: Eukaryota; Metazoa; Arthropoda; Insecta; Orthoptera; Tettigoniidae.